RNAcentral lists this ribosomal RNA (886 nucleotides) under Helvella pseudoreflexa. RNAcentral describes it as "eukaryotic LSU rRNA". It matches the Rfam family "Eukaryotic large subunit ribosomal RNA", at positions 66 to 965 of the family's 3401-position model. Lineage: Eukaryota; Fungi; Ascomycota; Pezizomycetes; Pezizales; Helvellaceae. The record is from RNAcentral.
CAACAGGGCUUGCCCCAGUAACGGCGAGUGAAGCGGCAGGAGCUCAAAUUUGAAAUCUGGGGCCCCCGGCCUCCGAGUUGUAAUUUGGAGAGGCUCCUUCGGGGGGGAGCGCUGGCCCAUGUUCCUUGGAACAGGACGUCGCAGAGGGUGAGAAUCCCGUGCCAGGCCGGCUGCCUCCUCCCGCGUGAAGGGCCUUCGACGAGUCGAGUUGUUUGGGAAUGCAGCUCCAAGUGGGUGGUAAAUUUCAUCUAAAGCUAAAUACCGGCGGGAGACCGAUAGCGCACAAGUAGAGUGAUCGAAAGAUGAAAAGCACUUUGAAAAUAGAGUCAAAAAGUACGUGAAAUUGUUGAAAGGGAAGCGCUUGAGACCAGACUCAGACCCAGGCAAACACCGCGCCCCCAGGGGCCGUGCAAUUGCCCGGUGCUGGGCCAGCAUCAGUUGGCGUGGCGGGACAAGGGCGCGGGAAAUGUGGCUCCCCUCGGGGAGUGUUAUCAGGCCCGCGCCGGAUGCCGCCGACGCCGACUGAGGACCGCGCCUCGGCUAGGAUGCUGGCUUAAUGGCCUUCAGCGACCCGUCUUGAAACACGGACCAAGGAGUCUAACAUCUAUGCGAGUGUUUGGGCGCCAAACCCUUGCGCGGAAUGAAAGUGAGCGGAGGUGGGAACCCCUAGCCGGGCGCACCAUCGACCGAUCCUGAUGUCUUCGGAUGGAUUUGAGUAGGAGCAUAGCUGUUGGGACCCGAAAGAUGGUGAACUAUGCCUGAAUAGGGUGAAGCCAGAGGAAACUCUGGUGGAGGCUCGCAGCGGUUCUGACGUGCAAAUCGAUCGUCAAAUUUGGGUAUAGGGGCGAAAGACUAAUCGAACCAUCUAGUAGCUGGUCCUGCCGAG